CGGCUGAUUAGCUAGUUGGUAGGGUAACGGCCUACCAAGGCCAAGAUCGGUAGCCGGCCUGAGAGGGCGCACGGCCACACUGGAACUGAAACACGGUCCAGACUCCUACGGGAGGCAGCAGUGGGGAAUUUUGCGCAAUGGGGGAAACCCUGACGCAGCAACGCCGCGUGGAGGAUGAAGUCCUUUGGGACGUAAACUCCUUUCGACCCGGACGAUACUGACGGUACGGGUGGAAGAAGCACCGGCUAACUCUGUGCCAGCAGCCGCGGUAAUACAGAGGGUGCGAGCGUUGUUCGGAAUUAUUGGGCGUAAAGGGCGCGUAGGCGGUGCGGUAAGUCACCUGUGAAAUCUCCUGGCUCAACUGGGAGCUUGCAGGCGAAACUGCCGUGCUGGAGUGUGG
RNAcentral lists this ribosomal RNA (400 nucleotides) under uncultured Acidobacteriota bacterium. Its description in RNAcentral is "bacterial SSU rRNA". It matches the Rfam family "Bacterial small subunit ribosomal RNA", at positions 234 to 651 of the family's 1533-position model. The record is from RNAcentral. Lineage: Bacteria; Pseudomonadati; Acidobacteriota.